This 429-nucleotide long non-coding RNA is filed under the name Mus musculus (house mouse). RNAcentral's name for it is "long non-coding RNA chrX:103514921-103515350". The record is from RNAcentral. Lineage: Eukaryota; Metazoa; Chordata; Mammalia; Rodentia; Muridae.
UGUAGCCUGGCCUGCAAGCACUAUGUGCAUCCUGACCUGCUCUUGCUCAAUACUUUCGAAAUCAUCAUCACGCUGGUAGUUGGCUGCCAGCUGUCAAACAUCUGGAGCGUCACCUCCAAAUGUCCUUGAUUUGGUGCAGAUGUUUCAAAGAGGGCAGCUUCUAUUCAGAUGGCUUGGUAGCUUCAUGGAGUCUGGAAAAUAAUGGCAGUCCCCCCACUCUUUUGCAGACAUAUCCUGGUCAUCUGUUUCAUCCCCUCUUUCUCCUUCUUCUGUAGACCCCACCUGACUGUUUUUCUGAGAGUGACUGGAGGCCUCCUGGCUAGGGUUGCUGCUCUUUUCCAGAUCAUUCCCCUGAUAAUCUGUACUGUGAAGGACACACAGACCUUUACCUUUCAUGCUAACUCUGGUCCCCUUUCCCCCUAUUUCUUU